Molecule: long non-coding RNA, 201 nt
Filed under: Mytilus galloprovincialis (Mediterranean mussel)
Lineage: Eukaryota; Metazoa; Mollusca; Bivalvia; Mytilida; Mytilidae
Source: RNAcentral
GUCUCGUCUGCUUUACUUAUGAUAGUAUAUUUGUUGAACGUCUAUAAUAUCAAGGGUUUUACUAGAAGUGUCAAAUGCGCUUAAGAUUGUCAAUGGUUCAUAAAAAGAGUUCAAGGUCAGAAUACCAUGCCAUACAGAUCUCUACAUAUAUCCCGUACACCAAAUAAAUGUGUUCCGAUCCUUACAGUGCCUUAGAAACUG